Paramuricea clavata is the source of this 549-nucleotide non-coding RNA. The record is from the annotation of a GenBank genome assembly. Lineage: Eukaryota; Metazoa; Cnidaria; Anthozoa; Malacalcyonacea; Plexauridae.
GCGCACAACGGACCAGUCACCUCACUUGUUCCAAAUUAUAUCAUGUGUUAUUAAAUUCUACUCCUUUUCUUUGCCCCAAGACAGGUGUAUUAACAACAAAAGAACACGAAGUCCCACACACUUGGGUACAACUCGAGUAUUUCUCGCCUUAAACUGUACAAUACACAAGAACUAUUAAGAAGCUUUGAAUAUGACACCAGUAUAAAAUACAAACAUAUGACAAUUCACAGCAAUGUUAUUAUCGCCUCAAGAAAGACUCGCGGUGCGCUUUCCUAAUAAAAUUAUAUCCACCUUGACCAGCGCCGUGUAACAGCUUUGCGGAAAAUCCCUUGUCGGUUUAGAGCAUCAAUUGGUGACAGCGAAUAUUAAGUGGAGCGUUCACAAUUUAUUCCUGAAGAAUUUAAGUUUUUUUCAACAAGUAGCGCAGUUGUGAAAUCCAGCUAGCUUUCUUCAAGUCUUCAAAUAUGAUGUGGUUUCAAUUUACAGCCAACUUUUUUUUCUUCAGUGUAUUUCCGAGUCUUCAAUUUCAACUUUAAGUGUCUCAGGAAG